RNAcentral lists this ribosomal RNA (253 nucleotides) under uncultured bacterium. Its description in RNAcentral is "partial 16S ribosomal RNA". It matches the Rfam family "Bacterial small subunit ribosomal RNA", at positions 524 to 776 of the family's 1533-position model. The record is from RNAcentral.
GACAGAGGGUGCAAACGUUGUUCGGAAUUACUGGGCGUAAAGCGCGUGUAGGCGGCUAUGUAAGUCGGGCGUGAAAUCCCACGGCUCAACCGUGGAAGUGCACCCGAAACUGCGUAGCUAGAGUCCUGGAGAGGAAGGUGGAAUGCUUGGUGUAGAGGUGAAAUUCGUAGAUAUCAAGCGGAACACCGGUGGCGAAGGCGGCCUUCUGGACCGUACCUGACGCUGAGGCGCGAAGGCUAGGGGAGCGAACGGG